RNAcentral lists this ribosomal RNA (492 nucleotides) under uncultured bacterium. RNAcentral's name for it is "partial 16S ribosomal RNA". It matches the Rfam family "Bacterial small subunit ribosomal RNA", at positions 29 to 507 of the family's 1533-position model. The record is from RNAcentral.
AGUGAACGCUGGCGGUAGGCCUAACACAUGCAAGUCGAACGGCAGCACAGUAAGAGCUUGCUCUUACGGGUGGCGAGUGGCGGACGGGUGAGGAAUACAUCGGAAUCUACUUUUUCGUGGGGGAUAACGUAGGGAAACUUACGCUAAUACCGCAUACGACCUACGGGUGAAAGCAGUGGAUCUUCGGACCUUGCGCGAUUGAAUGAGCCGAUGUCGGAUUAGCUAGUUGGCGGGGUAAAGGCCCACCAAGGCGACGAUCCGUAGCUGGUCUGAGAGGAUGAUCCGCCAAACUGGAACUGAGACACGGUCCAGACUCCUACGGGAGGCAGCAGUGGGGAAUAUUGGACAAUGGGCGCAAGCCUGAUCCAGCCAUACCGCGUGGGUGAAGAAGGCCUUCGGGUUGUAAAGCCCUUUUGUUGGGAAAGAAAAGCAGCAGGUUAAUACCCCGCUGUUCUGACGGUACCCAAAGAAUAAGCACCGGCUAACUUCGUG